This is a long non-coding RNA of Brienomyrus brachyistius, 605 nucleotides long. RefSeq lists it as uncharacterized. The record is from RefSeq and is a predicted model, not a curated record. NCBI's taxonomy places the organism in Eukaryota, Metazoa, Chordata, Actinopteri, Osteoglossiformes, Mormyridae. The transcript is spliced from 3 exons.
AAUGAGCGCCUCAUGCCAGCCCGUUUGGACCGCAUAGAUGACAUCAACCAUGAGAGGAAGAAGCAAAAACUCACGACUGGGUCACAAUUCAGCACCACAUCAGGGGUGAUGGAGGAAGACACGUUCAUGGAAACACAUUUAUUUGAGACAGGCCUAACAUGUCGUCUUUAGGAAAGCAUCUACAGUCCUCGAGUGAAAGUGAAAUGUGCUGAAAAUAAAAGGUGUGCAUUGUAUCCUGAGAAGGUACCCAUCCAGACAGUCCAGCAACUCCUCUGUGAGACAGAUGUACAGCAGCAAGGCCAGAAAAGAUGAGUAAUGCCUCCACAGGCUCCUGAAAAUUCACCAAGGGUGCGGCCUGCAACAAAUCCACCAGGCACAGAAGGCAGAGUGCAUCAUGGGCCACACCGUAUCUCCUGGGAGGCUGCUGCUUGAACCGUAAAAUUAGCCACUCAUCAUCAUGAAAUGUUACAACAUUCUGUUGAAUAAAGGAAUUAGGACAAUAGAUUUUUUUUAUUGCCCCUCCUCUUGAACUUCUACAUGUAGUGUUUAUCAUACACUCUCUACAACUGAAAAAAUCCACUGAUUUUGUUAAUUACAGCAAUAGA